RNAcentral lists this unclassified non-coding RNA (221 nucleotides) under fungal sp. Its description in RNAcentral is "partial internal transcribed spacer region". The stretch from base 1 to 46 matches the Rfam family "Eukaryotic small subunit ribosomal RNA", at positions 1786 to 1831 of the family's 1831-position model. Lineage: Eukaryota; Fungi. The record is from RNAcentral.
AAGUCGUAACAAGGUUUCCGUAGGUGAACCUGCGGAAGGAUCAUUAACAAAUCAUGUUCGGGCCCUCGGGCCCGAUAACAUUCACCCUUAGGCCGUGGUGCUUCGGCACCGGGUCUUUGGUUCGGCAUCCGCAAGGAAGCCAACAUAGACGCUUGUAUGUUUGACAGUAUUAGUUGACACUUUAAAAAUGACAACUUUUAACAAUGGAUCUCUUGGCUCUU